UACAGAGGGUGCAAGCGUUGUUCGGAAUUACUGGGCGUAAAGCGCACGUAGGCGGCUUUGUAAGUAAGAGGUGAAAGCCCAGGGCUUAACCCUGGAAUUGCCUUUAAGACUGCAUCGCUAGAAUCGUGGAGAGGUGAGUGGAAUUCCGAGUGUAGAGGUGAAAUUCGUAGAUAUUCGGAAGAACACCAGUGGCGAAGGCGACUCACUGGACACGUAUUGACGCUGAGGUGCGAAAGCGUGGGGAGCAAACAGG
This 253-nucleotide ribosomal RNA is filed under the name uncultured bacterium. RNAcentral's name for it is "partial 16S ribosomal RNA". It matches the Rfam family "Bacterial small subunit ribosomal RNA", at positions 524 to 776 of the family's 1533-position model. The record is from RNAcentral.